CGAUGAAGCCCAGCUUGCUGGGUGGAUUAGUGGCGAACGGGUGAGUAACACGUGAGUAACCUGCCCUUAACUCUGGGAUAAGCCUGGGAAACUGGGUCUAAUACCGGAUAGGAGCGUCCACCGCAUGGUGGGUGUUGGAAAGAUUUAUCGGUUUUGGAUGGACUCGCGGCCUAUCAGCUUGUUGGUGAGGUAAUGGCUCACCAAGGCGACGACGGGUAGCCGGCCUGAGAGGGUGACCGGCCACACUGGGACUGAGACACGGCCCAGACUCCUACGGGAGGCAGCAGUGGGGAAUAUUGCACAAUGGGCGAAAGCCUGAUGCAGCGACGCCGCGUGAGGGAUGACGGCCUUCGGGUUGUAAACCUCUUUCAGUAGGGAAGAAGCGAAAGUGACGGUACCUGCAGAAGAAGCACCGGCUAACUACGUGCCAGCAGCCGCGGUAAUACGUAGGGUGCGAGCGUUAUCCGGAAUUAUUGGGCGUAAAGAGCUCGUAGGCGGUUUGUCGCGUCUGUCGUGAAAGUCCGGGGCUUAACCCCGGAUCUGCGGUGGGUACGGGCAGACUAGAGUGCAGUAGGGGAGACUGGAAUUCCUGGUGUAGCGGUGGAAUGCGCAGAUAUCAGGAGGAACACCGAUGGCGAAGGCAGGUCUCUGGGCUGUAACUGACGCUGAGGAGCGAAAGCAUGGGGAGCGAACAGGAUUAGAUACCCUGGUAGUCCAUGCCGUAAACGUUGGGCACUAGGUGUGGGGACCAUUCCACGGUUUCCGCGCCGCAGCUAACGCAUUAAGUGCCCCGCCUGGGGAGUACGGCCGCAAGGCUAAAACUCAAAGGAAUUGACGGGGGCCCGCACAAGCGGCGGAGCAUGCGGAUUAAUUCGAUGCAACGCGAAGAACCUUACCAAGGCUUGACAUGUUCUCGAUCGCCGUAGAGAUACGGUUUCCCCUUUGGGGCGGGUUCACAGGUGGUGCAUGGUUGUCGUCAGCUCGUGUCGUGAGAUGUUGGGUUAAGUCCCGCAACGAGCGCAACCCUCGUUCCAUGUUGCCAGCACGUCGUNGGUGGGGACUCAUGGGAGACUGCCGGGGUCAACUCGGAGGAAGGUGAGGACGACGUCAAAUCAUCAUGCCCCUUAUGUCUUGGGCUUCACGCAUGCUACAAUGGCCGGUACAAUGGGUUGCGAUACUGUGAGGUGGAGCUAAUCCCAAAAAGCCGGUCUCAGUUCGGAUUGGGGUCUGCAACUCGACCCCAUGAAGUCGGAGUCGCUAGUAAUCGCAGAUCAGCAACGCUGCGGUGAAUACGUUCCCGGGCCUUGUACACACCGCCCGUCAAGUCACGAAAGUUGGUAACACCCGAAGCCGGUGGCCUAACC
The sequence is a ribosomal RNA, 1364 nucleotides long. It matches the Rfam family "Bacterial small subunit ribosomal RNA", at positions 67 to 1440 of the family's 1533-position model.